Molecule: ribosomal RNA, 276 nt
Filed under: uncultured bacterium
Lineage: Bacteria
Description: partial 16S ribosomal RNA
Rfam family: Bacterial small subunit ribosomal RNA
Source: RNAcentral
GAGUUUGAUCAUGGCUCAGAGCGAACGCUGGCGGCAGGCCUAACACAUGCAAGUCGAACGGAUCCUUCGGGAUUAGUGGCGGACGAGUGAGUAACACGUGGGAACGUGCCCUUUGGUUCGGGACAACUCAGGGAAACUUGAGCUAAUACCGGAUGUGCCCUUCGGGGGAAAGAUUUAUCGCCAUUGGAGCGGCCCGCGUCUGAUUAGCUUGUUGGUGAGGUAAAGGCGUCACCAACGGACUACGAUCAGUAGCUGGUCUGAGAGGAUGAUCAGCCA